CGGGACAGGUGAGUAAUGUCUGGGAAACUGCCUGAUGGAGGGGGAUAACUACUGGAAACGGUAGCUAAUACCGCAUAACGUCGCAAGACCAAAGAGGGGGACCUUAGGGCCUCUUGCCAUCGGAUGUGCCCAGAUGGGAUUAGCUAGUAGGUGGGGUAACGGCUCACCUAGGCGACGAUCCCUAGCUGGUCUGAGAGGAUGACCAGCCACACUGGAACUGAGACACGGUCCAG
This 233-nucleotide ribosomal RNA is filed under the name uncultured bacterium. RNAcentral's name for it is "partial 16S ribosomal RNA". It matches the Rfam family "Bacterial small subunit ribosomal RNA", at positions 100 to 334 of the family's 1533-position model. The record is from RNAcentral.